AGGAACUGCCGAUGCUAAGUGACAGAUGGCUAGCUGUUAUGUGAGUGAGUCUGAGGGUAAAAUGGCUACAGCUUACAAUAUGUUUCAGUUAGAAACAACGUCUAUUAUGGCCGUUGUCGUCGAGACGGCAAUGACAGAAAUGGGCAAAUUUUUGACCACCGGGCCGAACUCUUACGUUUGCAAUCCGGAGAGAGAGCUGUACACAAUUAUGAAUCUGGUGACAGGGGAGGCUAUUCGUAAAAUCUGCCAACUAUUCCUAGUGGUCUCCUCAAGUUUACAAAAUGAGAACGAUAAACUGAAGACCAAGGUGGAACAGAUGGAUGAAGUUCUGAAAACCAAGGUGGAGCAGAUGGAUGAAGAUAUGAAGGCAUUGACUGAGAAGGCUGAACAUUAUAGAGCAUCACUGGCUAAAAUGCAGGCACAAGCAGAACCGAAAGGACCCACGCAUAUUCUGCUCAAUGGAAUGAUUUUUGCAAUUCCACCAGUUGGUCUCUCAAUGUUCUCUGGAAUCACAGCGGCUUCAACAUUGCCAGGGAAUGUCAGUCAAGCAAACACUGUCACUAAUGCGAUGUCAGUCUGUGCAGGUAAUCCUUCAAAUUGUGUUAUUUGGAAUAAUGGUUAGCAAACCAAGGUCUUAAUCACUAGGAACCAAACAGAAGCAAAUGGGCCAAAACGAGAAGGGCAUAGGCAGCUAGUGAGUGGUGUCACCACCAGUGAGUGGUGUACAGAAUGGUGUUGUCUGCGUAGAGGUGGAUCAG
Molecule: non-coding RNA, 758 nt
Organism: Salvelinus sp. IW2-2015
Lineage: Eukaryota; Metazoa; Chordata; Actinopteri; Salmoniformes; Salmonidae
Source: RefSeq, a predicted model, not a curated record